AGAGCAGGACAGAUGGCCGCUCCUUCCUGUUUAGGGAGGGGAGGAAAGUCCGGGCUCCAUAGGACAGGGUGCUGGGUAACGCCCAGUCCUGGUGACAGGAGGAAAGUGUCACAGAAAACAUACCGCCAGGCACCAAACUUCCAGAAGGAUCAUUGGUUUAAUACCAUAUGUUCUCACAUGAGAGCUUUGAAUUUUUCAAAGCUCUCAGAAAAAACUGUAAUUAUGGGUUAUUUAAAGUUAAUUUUUGGGGGUCUGGGGGUAUAAGCCCCAGUGUAAGAAGGGGUUAUGAAAAGCUCUCACAUAUGGAAUAUUCAACCAGAAAAGAAUGAUCAUCCUGAAGUUUGGUGCCUGGUAAGGGUGAAAAGG
This 366-nucleotide RNase P RNA is filed under the name Desulfobacteraceae bacterium. Its description in RNAcentral is "partial RNase P RNA component class A". It matches the Rfam family "Bacterial RNase P class A", at positions 1 to 162 of the family's 367-position model. From Rfam's summary of the family: Ribonuclease P (RNase P) is a ubiquitous endoribonuclease, found in archaea, bacteria and eukarya as well as chloroplasts and mitochondria. Its best characterised activity is the generation of mature 5'-ends of tRNAs by cleaving the 5'-leader elements of precursor-tRNAs. Cellular RNase Ps are ribonucleoproteins. Lineage: Bacteria; Pseudomonadati; Thermodesulfobacteriota; Desulfobacteria; Desulfobacterales; Desulfobacteraceae. The record is from RNAcentral.